ACUGAAAGUGUGUCCAAGACACUGAUCUCAUUAAAGUGGAUAUGGCAUAGGACGAAAUAAGUGUGACCAAUUGAAGGUUGUAGUCUCUGUACACAAUAUGGCGGUGUAUACGAAUACGAACACAGUUUACUGUGACGAUGAUACGAAAUUCCACGUGUAAUUAAUUAUCUAUAGACGUAGAUGUGUAUCAGUUUUAUCCAAAAUAUUACUUUUUUUAUAAUAAAAAUAGUAAAAUAGUAAAAUAGUGAGAUUCCAAAAUUAAAAAAUGUGUUUAUUGUGGAAAAGGAAGUGAAAAUAAACAACAAACGUUUCAUAGCUGCAAGUAUGGAUUACUACAACACAAUUAAGGACACGAGGACAAAAUAAGCUAUAACAAUAUCCUUUAAACUUAUUUAUAAGUUUAGUAGUAGUAGUAUUAUUUAUUAGUAAAAUUAUUUAACAAGAUGGUCAUAAAUAAAAAUUUACGAUUUUUAGACACCUGCAA
This is a long non-coding RNA of Monomorium pharaonis (pharaoh ant), 484 nucleotides long. RefSeq lists it as uncharacterized. Lineage: Eukaryota; Metazoa; Arthropoda; Insecta; Hymenoptera; Formicidae. The transcript has 2 exons. The record is from RefSeq and is a predicted model, not a curated record.